This 248-nucleotide ribosomal RNA is filed under the name uncultured bacterium. Its description in RNAcentral is "partial 16S ribosomal RNA". It matches the Rfam family "Bacterial small subunit ribosomal RNA", at positions 15 to 254 of the family's 1533-position model. The record is from RNAcentral.
GAUCCUGGCUCAGGAUAAACGCUAGCGGCAGGCCUAACACAUGCAAGUCGAGGGGCAUCGGAUAGAGUACUUCGGUACUCUUGCCGGCGACCGGCGGACGGGUGCGUAACGCGUAUGCAACCUACCUUCAACAGGGGGAUAAUCCGAAGAAAUUUGGUCUAAUACCCCAUAAUAUUCCGACAGGCAUCUGUCGGAGUUGAAAGCUUCGGUGGUUGGAGAUGGGCAUGCGUUGUAUUAGCUAGAUGGUG